AUUGAACGCUGGCGGCGUGCCUAAUACAUGCAAGUAGGACGCAGUUGCGAACGGGUGAGUAACGCGUAGGUAACUGCCUAUUAGAGGGGGAUAACUAUUGGAAACGAUAGCUAAUACCGCAUACUAGUAGAUGGACCUGCGUUGUAUUAUCUAGUAGGUAGGGUAAUGGCCUACCUAGGCGAGGAUACAUAGCCGACCGGAGAGGGUGAGCGGCAACACUGGGACUGAGACACGGCCCAGACUCUUACGGGAUGCAGCAGGAGGUAAUCUUCGGCAAUGGGGGGAACCCUGACCGAGCAAAGCCGCGGGAGUGAAGAAGGGUUUCGGAUCGUAAAGCUCUGUUGUUAAGGAAGCGGUACUUAACCAGAAAGGGACGGCUAACUACGUGCCAGCAGCCGCGGUAAUUC
This 407-nucleotide ribosomal RNA is filed under the name uncultured bacterium. Its description in RNAcentral is "partial 16S ribosomal RNA". It matches the Rfam family "Bacterial small subunit ribosomal RNA", at positions 30 to 526 of the family's 1533-position model. The record is from RNAcentral.